RNAcentral lists this non-coding RNA (30 nucleotides) under Cricetulus griseus (Chinese hamster). The record is from RNAcentral. Lineage: Eukaryota; Metazoa; Chordata; Mammalia; Rodentia; Cricetidae.
GGCGCGGGCUCCUCCUGCGCCUGUCCGCGG